ACUCUCACUAAAGGAGAUCAUUUUACAAACUUGGAAAGAUGUAGAAAGAAUUAACAAGGGCCCUGUGCAAAAAUGAUACACUUAUUUUUUAACCAUUUCUAUUAUUU
This 107-nucleotide small nuclear RNA is filed under the name Heterocephalus glaber (naked mole-rat). Lineage: Eukaryota; Metazoa; Chordata; Mammalia; Rodentia; Bathyergidae. The record is from RNAcentral.